Nannospalax galili (Upper Galilee mountains blind mole rat) is the source of this 1243-nucleotide long non-coding RNA. RefSeq lists it as uncharacterized. Lineage: Eukaryota; Metazoa; Chordata; Mammalia; Rodentia; Spalacidae. The record is from RefSeq and is a predicted model, not a curated record. The transcript has 3 exons.
GCCACCCUGAGAAGAUCAGUGUGGGGCUCCAUCCUCUCCAGACCAUGGUCUGGAGGAGACACCAAGUGGGCCAGCUCCAGGCUGGAGGGAGCAUUCUGAGUGUGAGGGUCAAGCAUCUGGGAGCCCAGGACCCAAGAUCUCUGAUUCUUAGGUCUGAUCCCUGGCCACAGGCAGCCUCCAGCCCUGUACCCCAGCUGGGAGUGGAUGGAGGGUGCCAUCAUUGAGUCACUGAACCCUUCAGGCUUCAGCCAGAUCCAGCCCAGGCCCAGUACUUGAGUGCCCAUGGCUGAUACAGCACCUCCAGGGCAAGAUGCUAUUUAUGCCCAUACACCCAGGGCACACAAUUUGGGUUGAGUUCACCAUUCUUUGGCAACCAUAUGGCACACAGCAAAAGCUGGAAGAGGCGCAGGCCCGUGAGGACCACAACCUUGGUUGUCCAUCCUGGGAAAUGGGCAUCCUGGGGCCUGGACACCACCAGGGAAGCUUGACUUGGUCCCUGCAGGAGAGACAAAGAGGCCCAGCCUCAGGAGCCGCGCCCCUGCUGGGGAGUCGAGCCGCCAGCCCGCUCUGCCAGCCGGCCAUACAUAAUUCAUCGCCAAAUGGAGCCGCGGGCGCUUGAGCUGGGGCCGCUCUUUGCCUGGCACUUUGCUGACUGCUCCUCACACGUCGCCUCUUCGCAUCUUCAUGGAUGUGGAGUGUGAGCCUCCCCCACUCACCCAGGGCGACCCCAGGCUCCCACAGAAGCCACCCCAAGUUGCACUGACCAUGCAGGGCUCCGGGCAGCUGCCUACUAUCCUCUCUGCUUCCCUGGAGAUGGAGAGGAUAGAUGGGUGGAAGAGACCAUACCCCGAGACAAGCCCCACUGAGUGGAAGGACAGAGGCCACCCUCUGGGGUCCCCACACACACACACCAAAUCAGACUGAUCAGCACAGGCUGGAAAAGCAGAGCAUCUGAGGGAACAGUCAGACCCCUACCAGGGGUGCAGCAGAAUCUUAGAAAUGGAGUCACCAGCCUGAUGGGGUUGUUGGGAUAUGCCAUGAGGGAGUGUUGUGUUUAUAAAGGGAGGGGGAGUCCCUUUAUAAGGUGAUGGAAACAUUCUGGAUCUUGACUGGGAUGAAGAUUUUGCAGAACUGGGGCCAGUGAGAUGGCACAGCAGGUAAAGGUGCUUGCUGCCAAGCUUGACCACCUGAGUUUGACCCCUAGAAUAUGAUGGUUGUAAGAGAACAAAUCUCACCAACUUGU